Molecule: long non-coding RNA, 2611 nt
Organism: Mustela lutreola (European mink)
Lineage: Eukaryota; Metazoa; Chordata; Mammalia; Carnivora; Mustelidae
Exons: 3
Source: RefSeq, a predicted model, not a curated record
AGGCGCGCUUUGGGUCCCACACUGGGGCAAUGGCUGGCCCAAGCGGGCACGUUGCGGGCCUUCCAAGAUGUGGGCCGUGAGCCUUCAGUGGAUUAUAAGGAAGUGCCCAUGCAGCAGAAAAGAGAAAGGAGGGAAGCAGUGAAGGAGUCUCCCUAGCUGAUGACAGAGGUGGAAAAGAGCGACAGUGACCCAGCUCCAAAGAGAACGCAGGACGCCUGAAUCUUGCCAUUUUUUGUACAACAAAUUCUCUUUCCUUUUCUGUGAAGUGAAGUGAAUAUAAUUUGUGGAAAUUCAAGGUGGAAACUUGCAGAUACCCUGGCCCAUCCCCUCAUGCAUACUUCAAUAUCCACUGCCUAAGAGUCAGGACAUUCUUCUAAGUGACCGCAGUAGCUACCACACUGAAGUAUUAAACAUUUCCCAGUUAUCUCUCAAAUGUCAUUUUUGUUUAUUAUUUUUUUCCCCAAUCCACAGAGCCAAUGUGGUCAAGAGCCACACAUUGCAUUUGCUUAUCGUGUGCUUUUAAGCUCUGAUUUAGUACCACCACCCUUGCUUUUGUUUUUCAUGACAGUGGCUUUUUUUUUUCUUUUAAGAUUUUAUUUAUUUGACCGGGAGAGAGACACAGCCAGAGAGGGAACACAAGCAGGGGGAGCGUGGAGCAGGGAACCUGAUGCAGGCGGGGCUGGAUCCCAGGACUCCAGGACCAUGACCUCUGCUGAAGGCAGUCGUGUAACAACUGAGCCACCCAGCAUGGUUCCUCCCAUCGUCCACACAGGGAGGGCACAAGGGAAACCCAGAUGCCCCAUGCUGCACUGGACAUCAUGAUAAACUGCCUGAGGGCUCCAGACACUCAGGCUUGAGAUAGAGGCUUCUUUCUUGGAGACCUUGGAGCCAUGAAGCGUUCCCAGGUUGGGUACUCCUGGGUUCUUCUGCCCUGAACCAGCAGCCCCAGCAGAGUCUCAAGGGAGAGGCUCCAUUCAUAUGCAGUGCUCCACUACAGACCUAGUGUUCUAGAGAACUGCUCUGUGCAAGUGGUGGGCUGUGAAGGAUCCGGACGGGUCAAAGACAUGGCAUCAAAGUUCAAGUUGUUUUAGUCUAUCUGGGGAGGCAGAAAGAGACAGGUGGAGAGAUGAAGAAGGGAAGUUAACGAGGAGGAGACUAAGGGGGCAGAGGUUCAGAGCAGUAGCUGUGGGGGUGGGAGCUGGAGCAUCUGGGAGGGCAUGCAGGAGGUGUGAGGGAUGGGGCAGGAGCUCUGCGUGGUGGGAGGUGGGAACUGGCAGGGUGAGAGCCAGGUCAUGGCAAGAUUGGCCAGGGUAUCACGGGCUUCAGAAGACCAUUUGGUAAGAUGGGAAACAACCCAAACUGUCCAUCUGGAGAUGACUGGUUAAGUAAAUUAUGGCACGUCCACACAGUGCAACUCUAGAGAUGUGAGUCAGCCGACUGUGUCCAGUUAUCUCUCAGAUAAACUGAUAAACUGUGGACAAAACGGUGUGUCGUUUGCUACCAUUUGGGGCGAGAUAAGUAUGAUCUUAUUUGUAUGGGUACAGAAAAACUUUGGAGAGACCUUACAAAACUAAUAGAAGUGGUUACUGGAGGGUGGGUAUGGGGGGAACUGGGCAGAUGGGGGGAUAGAAGUGGGAGGGAGAACUUUGACCAAGUACAUUUUUAUACUUUUUCAUUUUCCAACCAUGUAAAUGUAUUUGCUGUUCAAAAUUAAAGAAAAAAGUGUGUCAACUAUACUUCAAUUAAAAAUAAAGAAUAGGGUGCCUGGGUGGCUCAUUUGGUUAAGCAUCUGCCUUUGGUUCGGGUUGUGACCCCAAGGUCCUGUGUCGGGCUCCCUGCUCAGUGGGGAGUCUGCUUCUCCCUUUCCCUCUGCCCCAUCCCCGGCUUGUGCUCUCCAUCACUCACUCUCUCUCCCAAAGAAAUAAAUAAAAUCUUAAAAAUAAAAAAAAAUUUAAAAAAUUAAAAAUUAAAAAAAAAUAAGUAGGUGCCUGGGUGGCUCAGUGGAUUAAGUCUCAGGGUCCUGGAUCUGAGCCCCACAUAGGACUCUCUGCUCAGCAGGAAGCCUGUUUCCCCCCUCUCUGCCUGCUGCUCUGCCUGCUUGUGAUCCAUCUCUCUCUGUCAAAUAAAUAAAUUCUUUAAAAAAAAAUCUAAAAAAAAAAAAGAAAAAAAUAAGUAGGCAGGAGAGUCUAGAAAUAUGGUCUAUGAACCAGCAGCAUCAGUAUCACCUGGAAACUUACUAGAACUGGAGAAUCUCCUGGAAAUGGAGAAACCCCAUCCCAGACAUUGGGCAACCACUCUUGGGCCUCGGUUUGUUUGUCUGUCAAACAGGCUAUUAAUUUAAGGUUGUUAUGAGAUGCAAUGAGCUGAUGGGUUAAGGCACCCAGCAGAGGAUGUAGGUUUUAACAAGGUUCCCGGGUGACUCAGGACCAUGUUAAGGUUUGAGGAGCUCUGGCCUAGAAUCUGUGGUUACCAGGAGCAGGCACUGGUGACUGAUAACAGCUGUGGGGUUUGGUUUGUUUGUUUGUUUUUGUUUUUAAAGAUUUUAUGUAUUUGACAGACAGAGAUCACAAGUAGGCAGAGAGGCAGGCAGAGAGGAGGAAGCAGGCUCCCC